GGAAGUGGAUAGGUCGCUGGUGGGCCUCCCGGACUUCAAAUCCGGUGAUGGGCGCUAAAACCGCCCAUGGUGGGUUCGAUUCCCAUGCACUUCCGCCA
Molecule: transfer RNA, 98 nt
Filed under: Candidatus Zymogenaceae bacterium
Lineage: Bacteria; Deltaproteobacteria; Candidatus Zymogeniales; Candidatus Zymogenaceae
Description: tRNA-Sec
Rfam family: Selenocysteine transfer RNA
Source: RNAcentral